GACGAACGCUGGCGGCGUGCCUAACACAUGCAAGUCGAGCGGUCCGGCACUCAACUCAGUGCUCAUUUUGGGAUUAAGAGGGAGUUACUGACCCGGGAGGGGAAGUAACGGAUAAGAGUGGAGUGGGCAGCGAGUUGAGUGCCGGAUAGCGGCGGACGGGUGAGUAACGCGUGGGUGAUCUACCCAUAAGAGGGGGAUAACACCGGGAAACUGGUGCUAAUACCGCAUAAGCUAUUCGGUAUGCAUGUACUGGAUAGUAAAGGUGGCCUCUGGAGCAAGCUACCGCUUAUGGAUGAGCCCGCGUCUGAUUAGCUAGUUGGUGGGGUAACGGCCUACCAAGGCGACGAUCAGUAGCUGGUCUGAGAGGAUGAUCAGCCACACUGGGACUGAGACACGGCCCAGACUCCUACGGGAGGCAGCAGUGGGGAAUAUUGGACAAUGGGCGCAAGCCUGAUCCAGCCAUGCCGCGUGAGUGAUGAC
Molecule: ribosomal RNA, 480 nt
Filed under: uncultured bacterium
Lineage: Bacteria
Description: bacterial SSU rRNA
Rfam family: Bacterial small subunit ribosomal RNA
Source: RNAcentral